RNAcentral lists this ribosomal RNA (445 nucleotides) under uncultured bacterium. RNAcentral describes it as "partial 16S ribosomal RNA". It matches the Rfam family "Bacterial small subunit ribosomal RNA", at positions 354 to 796 of the family's 1533-position model. The record is from RNAcentral.
GUGAGGAAUAUUGGUCAAUGGGCGCAAGCCUGAACCAGCCAUGCCGCGUGCAGGAAGACGGUCCUAUGGAUUGUAAACUGCUUUUAUUUGGGAAUAAACUCCGGUACGUGUACCGGCCUGAAGGUACCAAAUGAAUAAGCACCGGCUAACACCGUGCCAGCAGCCGCGGUAAUACGGAGGGUGCAAGCGUUAUCCGGAAUCAUUGGGUUUAAAGGGUCCGCAGGCGGUCUUAUAAGUCAGUGGUGAAAGCCUACAGCUCAACUGUAGAACUGCCAUGGAUACUGUAGGACUUGAAUUCGGUCGAAGUGGGCGGAAUGUGACAUGUAGCGGUGAAAUGCUUAGAUAUGUCACAGAACACCGAUAGCGAAGGCAGCUCACUAGGUCUGGAUUGACGCUCAGGGACGAAAGCGUGGGGAGCAAACAGGAUUAGAAACCCCUGUAGUCC